Molecule: ribosomal RNA, 253 nt
Filed under: uncultured bacterium
Lineage: Bacteria
Description: partial 16S ribosomal RNA
Rfam family: Bacterial small subunit ribosomal RNA
Source: RNAcentral
UACGUAGGGGGCAAGCGUUGUCCGGAUUUAUUGGGCGUAAAGAGCGUGUAGGCGGUUUGGUAGGUCCGCUGUGAAAACUCGAGGCUCAACCUCGAGACGCCGGUGGAAACCAUCAGGCUAGAGUCCGGAAGAGGAGAGUGGAACUCCUGGUGUAGCGGUGAAAUGCGCAGAUAUCAGGAAGAACACCCGUGGCUAAGGCGGCUCUCUAGUACGGUACUGACGCUGAGACGCGAAAGCGUGGGGAGCGAACAGG